Molecule: ribosomal RNA, 465 nt
Filed under: Vreelandella stevensii
Lineage: Bacteria; Pseudomonadati; Pseudomonadota; Gammaproteobacteria; Oceanospirillales; Halomonadaceae
Description: partial 16S ribosomal RNA
Rfam family: Bacterial small subunit ribosomal RNA
Source: RNAcentral
CCUACGGGUGACUGCAGUGGGGAAUAUUGGACAAUGGGGGGAACCCUGAUCCAGCCAUGCCGCGUGUGUGAAGAAGGCCCUCGGGUUGUAAAGCACUUUCAGUGAGGAAGAACGCCUGGUGGUUAAUACCCAUCAGGAAAGACAUCACUCACAGAAGAAGCACCGGCUAACUCCGUGCCAGCAGCCGCGGUAAUACGGAGGGUGCGAGCGUUAAUCGGAAUUACUGGGCGUAAAGCGCGCGUAGGUGGCUUGAUAAGCCGGUUGUGAAAGCCCCGGGCUCAACCUGGGAACGGCAUCCGGAACUGUCAAGCUAGAGUGCAGGAGAGGAAGGUAGAAUUCCCGGUGUAGCGGUGAAAUGCGUAGAGAUCGGGAGGAAUACCAGUGGCGAAGGCGGCCUUCUGGACUGACACUGACACUGAGGUGCGAAAGCGUGGGUAGCAAACAGGAUUAGAUACCCGUGUAGUC